Molecule: ribosomal RNA, 492 nt
Filed under: uncultured bacterium
Lineage: Bacteria
Description: partial 16S ribosomal RNA
Rfam family: Bacterial small subunit ribosomal RNA
Source: RNAcentral
GGUGAACGCUGGCGGUAGGCCUAACACAUGCAAGUCGAACGGCAGCAUAAUAAGCGCUUGCUCUUACGGGUGGCGAGUGGCGGGCGGGUGAGGAAUACAUAAGAUUCUACUUUUUCGUGGGGGAUAACGUAAGGCAACUUACGCUACUACCGAAUACGACCUACGGGUGAAAGCAGGGGAUCUUCGCACCUUUCGCGUUUGAAUUAGACGGUGUCGGAUUAGCUAGUUGGCGGGGUAAAGGCACACCAAGGCGACGAUCCGUAGCUGGUCUGAGAGGAUGAUCAGCCACACUGGAACUGAGACACGGUCCAGACUCCUACGGGAGGCAGCAGUGGGGAAUAUUCGACAAUGGGCGCAAGCCUGAUCCAGCAAUACCGCGUGGGUGAAGAAGGCCUUCGGGUUGUAAAGCCCUGUUGUUGGGAAAGAAAAGCAGCAGGUGAAUACCCCGCUGUUCUGACGGUACCCAAAGAAUAAGCACCGGCUAACUUCGUG